This 158-nucleotide small nucleolar RNA is filed under the name Beta vulgaris subsp. vulgaris (sugar beet). Its description in RNAcentral is "snoRNA snoR138". Lineage: Eukaryota; Viridiplantae; Streptophyta; Magnoliopsida; Caryophyllales; Amaranthaceae. The record is from RNAcentral.
GAAUCCGUCUCUAAGUUAGAGACGGAUUUUAGAAAUCCGUCUCUAAUUUAGAGACGGAUUUUAGAAAUUCGUCUCUAAUUUAGAGACGGAUUUUAAAAUCCGUCUCUAAUUUAGGGACGGAUUUUUAAAAUCCGUCUCUAAUUUAGGGACGAAUUUUU